UCCGGUUUAUCACCGGCGGUUUCCUUAGAGUUCCCGCCAUGACGCGCUGGCAACUAAGGAUAGGGGUUGCGCUCGUUACGGGACUUAACCCAACAUCUCACGACACGAGCUGAUGACAGCCAUGCAGCACCUCUCCAGAGGCCCCGAAGGGAGAGCGGCUUUCACCGCCUGUCCUCUGAAGUUCAAACCCAGGUAAGGUUCUUCGCGUUGCGUCGAAUUAAACCACAUGCUCCACCGCUUGUGCGGGCCCCCGUCAAUUCCUUUGAGUUUUAGCCUUGCGGCCGUACUCCCCAGGCGGGGCGCUUAAUGCGUUAGCUACGGCACGGACAACGUGGAAUGUCACCCACACCUAGCGCCCAACGUUUACAGCGUGGACUAC
This 379-nucleotide unclassified non-coding RNA is filed under the name uncultured bacterium. Its description in RNAcentral is "contains 16S-23S intergenic spacer region". The record is from RNAcentral.